CGGGGCGUAGCGCAGUCCGGUAGCGCGCCUGCUUUGGGAGCAGGAGGCCACCAGUUCGAAUCUGGUCGCCCCGA
RNAcentral lists this transfer RNA (74 nucleotides) under Gemmatimonadota bacterium. RNAcentral's name for it is "tRNA-Pro". It matches the Rfam family "tRNA". From Rfam's summary of the family: Transfer RNA (tRNA) molecules are approximately 80 nucleotides in length. Their secondary structure includes four short double-helical elements and three loops (D, anti-codon, and T loops). Lineage: Bacteria; Pseudomonadati; Gemmatimonadota. The record is from RNAcentral.